CACCUGACUCCAUCCCGAACUCAGAAGUGAAACGAAACAGCGUCGAUGGUAGUGUGGGGUCUCCCCAUGUGAGAGUAGAACAUCGCCAGGC
RNAcentral lists this ribosomal RNA (91 nucleotides) under Vibrio cholerae. Lineage: Bacteria; Pseudomonadati; Pseudomonadota; Gammaproteobacteria; Vibrionales; Vibrionaceae. The record is from RNAcentral.